AGCGCGGGGCAACCUGGCGGCGAGUGGCGAACGGGUGAGUAAUAUAUCGGAACGUACCCUGGAGUGGGGGAUAACGUAGCGAAAGUUACGCUAAUACCGCAUACGAUCCAAGGAUGAAAGCAGGGGACCGCAAGGCCUUGUGCUCCUGGAGCGGCCGAUAUCUGAUUAGCUAGUUGGCGGGGUAAAAGCCCACCAAGGCAACGAUCAGUAGCUGGUCUGAGAGGACGACCAGCCACACUGGAACUGAGACACGGUCCAGACUCCUACGGGAGGCAGCAGUGGGGAAUUUUGGACAAUGGGCGCAAGGCUGAUCCAGCAAUGCCGCGUGAGUGAAGAAGGCCUUCGGGUUGUAAAGCUCUUUUGUCAGGGAAGAAACGGUGGGGGCUAAUAUCCCCUGCUAAUGACGGUACCUGAAGAAUAAGCACCGGCUAACUACGUGCCAGCAGCCGCGGUAAUACGUAGGGUGCAAGCGUUAAUCGGAAUUACUGGGCGUAAAGCGUGCGCAGGCGGUUUUGUAAGUCUGUCGUGAAAUCCCCGGGCUCAACCUGGGAAUUGUGAUGGAGACUGCAAGGCUAGAGUUUGGCAGAGGGGGGUAGAAUUCCACGUGUAGCAGUGAAAUGCGUAGAUAUGUGGAGGAACACCGAUGGCGAAGGCAGCCCCCUGGGUCAAAACUGACGCUCAUGCACGAAAGCGUGGGGAGCAAACAGGAUUAGAUACCCUGGUAGUCCACGCCCUAAACGAUGUCUACUAGUUGUCGGGUCUUAAUUGACUUGGUAACGCAGCUAACGCGUGAAGUAGACCGCCUGGGGAGUAC
This 814-nucleotide ribosomal RNA is filed under the name uncultured bacterium. RNAcentral describes it as "bacterial SSU rRNA". It matches the Rfam family "Bacterial small subunit ribosomal RNA", at positions 71 to 883 of the family's 1533-position model. The record is from RNAcentral.